This is a long non-coding RNA of Eptesicus fuscus (big brown bat), 404 nucleotides long. RefSeq lists it as uncharacterized. The record is from RefSeq and is a predicted model, not a curated record. The transcript is spliced from 3 exons. Lineage: Eukaryota; Metazoa; Chordata; Mammalia; Chiroptera; Vespertilionidae.
AAAAAAAAAAGUAAAAAACCUUGUUGACAGGCCACAUCACAGCUUCUGAUAGACUGGUGCUUUCCAAGGCUGGAAUUCCAAAGGAAGAUCUUUAGCCCGCGUCAUGCACUCAUUCAUUCGACCAGCGAACACUGUGACCAAUGCAUCAACAAAAUUGCUUGGCCUGUCUCUAUAACUAGAUUUCCUGAUUGCUAUUUGUAAACCCACAGCCAUGUGGACCCCACACAAUGGACUAAUGGACUACAACUAGCCUGAUGCUACACUGGACCCAUCUCCACCAUGGAACGGAGGCUCUGGACCUGGCUUCAUUUCUAGCCCUGUUGAAUCCCCAGUUGCACCUCUUCUAGGACUGGAUUAAGGGACUUGGGACUUUUGAAGCCCAAGGAUGUAAUUCCAUGUAAAUA